RNAcentral lists this ribosomal RNA (353 nucleotides) under uncultured Oscillospiraceae bacterium. RNAcentral describes it as "partial 16S ribosomal RNA". Lineage: Bacteria; Bacillati; Bacillota; Clostridia; Eubacteriales; Oscillospiraceae. The record is from RNAcentral.
GGAGUCUGGGCCGUGUCUCAGUCCCAAUGUGGCCGAUCAACCUCUCAGUCCGGCUACCGAUCGUCGGCUUGGUAGGCCGUUAUCCCACCAACUACCUAAUCGGACGCGAGGCCAUCUCUCAGCGGAUUGCUCCUUUGACCUCAUCCGGAUGCCCGGUCGUGGUCUUAUGCGGUAUUAGCACCUAUUUCUAAGUGUUAUCCCCCUCUGGGAGGUAGGUUCCUCACGUGUUACUCACCCGUUCGCCACUAACUUUACUUCUUCGUCCGCCGAAGCCUCAGUUUCCAUAAAGUCCGUUCGACUUGCAUGUGUUAGGCGCGCCGCCAGCGUUCGUCCUCGAGCCAUGAUCAAACUCU